CAAAGCACAGCUAGAUAGAGUAGCGUUUCACUUACGUUGAAAAGGAUUACCGUGCAAAUCGGUUUGUUUUGA
This 72-nucleotide transfer RNA is filed under the name Epixanthus frontalis. RNAcentral describes it as "tRNA-Val". Lineage: Eukaryota; Metazoa; Arthropoda; Malacostraca; Decapoda; Oziidae. The record is from RNAcentral.